AACGAACGCUGGCGGCAGGCCUAACACAUGCAAGUCGAACGAACCCUUCGGGGUGAGUGGCGCACGGGUGCGUAACACGUGGGAAUAUACACAUAGGUAAGGAAUAACUCAGGGAAACUUGCGCUAAUACCUUAUAAUAACUCCGGUUCAAAGAUUUAUCGCCUAUGGAUUAGCCCGCGCUAGAUUAGUUUGUUGGUGAGGUAAGAGCCCACCAAGACUACGAUCUAUAGCUGGUCUUAGAGGAUGAUCAGCCACACUGGAACUGAGACACGGUCCAGACUCCUACGGGAGGCAGCAGUGAGGAAUAUUGCGCAAUGGAGGAAACUCUGACGCAGCCAUGCCGCGUGAAUGAAGAAGGCCUUAGGGUUGUAAAAUUCUUUCAGAUGCGAAGAUAAUGACGGUACCAUCAGAAGAAGCUCCGGCUAAAUUCGUG
RNAcentral lists this ribosomal RNA (433 nucleotides) under uncultured bacterium. Its description in RNAcentral is "bacterial SSU rRNA". It matches the Rfam family "Bacterial small subunit ribosomal RNA", at positions 29 to 507 of the family's 1533-position model. The record is from RNAcentral.